Molecule: long non-coding RNA, 297 nt
Filed under: Elaeis guineensis (African oil palm)
Lineage: Eukaryota; Viridiplantae; Streptophyta; Magnoliopsida; Arecales; Arecaceae
Description: long non-coding RNA (EGUI_LNC038515)
Source: RNAcentral
AUGAGUGUCAUGAGCCUACAAAAUCUCAGAAAGAUCUUCAACAUCCUCUCAAGCAUGUCUGUUGAUGAUCCAGAAUGUUCGAAGAAUCGACAGACAUCGAUCGAAGGAGUUCAAUCAGCAUCGACCGUCAAAAAGGCUCUACAAAGAGCUAGCACUCGUGAGGAGUCGAUAAGAUCGAGAGCUUCAUAUGGACAAUCCGUAGAGGUCAGACACACUGUGUGGCUGCAUCGCGAUGAUCAGACUCUCCCAACGGUGAUCAGAUUGCGGCGAUCUACUAUCCGUACAAAGGUAUUGUGU